ACACAUGCAAGUCGAGCGGUAGAGAGAAGCUUGCUUCUCUUGAGAGCGGCGGACGGGUGAGUAAUGCCUAGGAAUCUGCCUGGUAGUGGGGGAUAACGUUCGGAAACGAACGCUAAUACCGCAUACGUCCUACGGGAGAAAGCAGGGGACCUUCGGGCCUUGCGCUAUCAGAUGAGCCUAGGUCGGAUUAGCUAGUUGGUGAGGUAAUGGCUCACCAAGGCGACGAUCCGUAACUGGUCUGAGAGGAUGAUCAGUCACACUGGAACUGAGACACGGUCCAGACUCCUACGGGAGGCAGCAGUGGGGAAUAUUGGACAAUGGGCGAAAGCCUGAUCCAGCCAUGCUGCGUGUGUGAAGAAGGUCUUCGGAUUGUAAAGCACUUUAAGUUGGGAGGAAGGGCAGUUACCUAAUACGUGAUUGUUUUGACGUUACCGACAGAAUAAGCACCGGCUAACUCUGUGCCAGCAGCCGCGGUAAUACAGAGGGUGCAAGCGUUAAUCGGAAUUACUGGGCGUAAAGCGCGCGUAGGUGGUUUGUUAAGUUGGAUGUGAAAUCCCCGGGCUCAACCUGGGAACUGCAUUCAAAACUGACUGACUAGAGUAUGGUAGAGGGUGGUGGAAUUUCCUGUGUAGCGGUGAAAUGCGUAGAUAUAGGAAGGAACACCAGUGGCGAAAGCGACCACCUGGACUAAUACUGACACUGAGGUGCGAAAGCGUGGGGAGCAAACA
This 728-nucleotide ribosomal RNA is filed under the name uncultured bacterium. Its description in RNAcentral is "bacterial SSU rRNA". It matches the Rfam family "Bacterial small subunit ribosomal RNA", at positions 51 to 774 of the family's 1533-position model. The record is from RNAcentral.